AAGAAAAAAAAAAAAAAUACGGAAAUAAAGAUUAAGAAUCAAAGCUUCUGGCUUUAUUGAUUAAUGCCUUUAAAAAGUGUUAAGGGAUGGCUGUUUGUUCAGCUCUCCUACGUGAGAAAGAAAAAAAAAGAAAAGAAAAAAAAAGAGGCACCCGACGAGGAGGACCUGGGUGAGACCAGAUGUCAGCAGCAGCCGUACCACUUUCGCUCGGCUCUUGUAAUUUGAAGUUUACCCUGCGCUGCCGAGAGCUGUAACCGCACUUGGAAAAACAAACAUUUUAUCUCGUUUUCACGAGGGUCAGAGGUUGGAGAGAGUGCAGCCUGGGAGGAAAAACAUGGCAGCGGAGGAGAGAGAGGCUUACACAAAAACGCAUCACUGUGGGUAUGGGGAUAAUUACAGAACGGGGUGCGGAGUUACUCGGUUGUAGCAGCGUGUCUGAAUAUACAGUAAUGAAGGAGAAAAGAACAGAGCUUGAUUGGAAUCUAGGUGGGUACAAAAAAAAAAAAAAAAAACAUGGGUGUGCUAAACUUUUUUCAUUACAGACUCAACUGGGAUUUCAUCAUAUGAGACAGACUGACUGACUAUGUUUACGUUUACAGCAUUACAGAGCUGUACUGUCGCCUCCCAUUUAUGUAUAUAUAUAUAUAUGUAUGUAGUACUGAUAAGCAACAAGAAUUUUCCGUACAGUAAGUUGUGUGAAAACAGCCUGCCUAUACAAUGUCGGAAACUUAUUUAAUCGCUUGUCUAACAUCGAAAGUAAGUAUCAUCGCUGGCUGUGAUGUGAGAAUCUAGUAAUUACAGGAAAAUAUCUUCCUCUGCACCUUCUUUCACUGCUAACAAAAACACAUCUACUGGGCAAUUGAGUGCAACUGUAUAAAACUGCGCUAAAUUGCUUUCCCAGGAUGCCGAGCGUAUGAUAAAGACAGCUGUCAGUUCCUGUGCCAUAGUGCCUCUAUGCUCUAUGUGAUUACCAACCCACACGUACCCCAACAUCCUGCCAUUCACACAUGGGAAAGAGAGAGAGAGAGAGAGACAGACAGGGAGAGAGAGAGAGAGAGAGAGACAGACAGGGAGAGAGAGAGAGAGAUGGGGGGUGGGAGAGGAGAGACAGAGGGAGAGAGACAGAGAGAGACAGAGAGAGAUGGGGGGUGGGAGUGGAGAGACAGAGGGAAAGAGAGUGAGCGAGCGAGUGAGAGAGAGAGAGAGAUGGGGUGGGAGUGGAGAAACAGAGGGAAAGAGAGAGAAAGACAGACAGAGAGAUAGAUGGGGGUGGGAUUGGAGAGACAGAGGGAGACAGAGAGAGACAGACAGAGAGAGAGAGAGAUGGGGAGAGAGAGAUGGGGGGUGGGAGUGGAGAGACAGAGGGAAAGAGAGAUAGAGAGAGACAGAGAGAGAGUGAGAGAGAGAGAUGGGGGUGGGAGUGGAGAGACAGAGGGAAAGAGAGAUAGAGAGAGACAGAGAGAGAGAGUGAGAGAGAGAGAGAGAGAGAGAGAGAGAGAAAGAGAGAAAGGACAGAUUCCAGUGUCUUUGUGUCAAAGAUUAGGAGUGAUUAGGAGUGAGCUGGAAUGAGAGAGCUCUCUGUUUGCACUGUGAUCGUACAUUAUCUCUGCUACAACAACACAUCACAUUCCUCACUAGCACACACACCGGUACACACACCGGUACACACACACACACAGAUACAGACAGCGCUGCAGCCUUGAUGAGAACAAAAGUCAAACCAAAAAAAGAAAUGAACUAAACCAUUUAUUCCAAUUACACACACUUUUACAGACGAAUACUGCCAGUAAAUGCCAUUAAACUCCAGCCGCAAAAUCACUGUGUCUCGAUAUCACACCAUGACACACUGACACAUUCGAACACGUACAGGACGUUUGUCAUUAAUAGCCGCGCUGAAGUCGUUCACGAGUUCCAGGAAAUUCAAGGUGUAGUGAUUGUGGCUGGGAGGGUCCCCGCGCGGCUCAAAGUUCACACUUAGGCAGGACACUCAUCUGUAAACGGUCCAAUAAUAGUGCAGAGGGGAUUUUCAUUUUAGAGUCUCACGAGUGAUCA
This is a long non-coding RNA of Ictalurus punctatus (channel catfish), 2052 nucleotides long. Lineage: Eukaryota; Metazoa; Chordata; Actinopteri; Siluriformes; Ictaluridae. The record is from Ensembl.